UUGUUAGUCUUUUAAUUUAAUUUCCGUCCAUUUCAGUUCCUAGUGUUUAAUUUAAUUGUUUUCAUUAUUCUGAGUCAUUUUAAGUGUGUUUCGAGUUAUUAGAGUUUUUAGCCUAGUUUUGUGUCCUUGAGUCUUAUUUAAUAUUUUUAAGUUAAUUUAAUAGAUUAGCAAUCCCUCCUAAUCCCCGGCCUAGAAGGAUACCCUACUUACAUCUAUACUACAAUUGUCAAAAAGAGGGUUUAAUUUGUGUGUCAAGUAAUUCACGCAUCAAAUUUUGGCGCCGUUGCCGGGGAUUAGUAACUUUGCUAAUCCUUUUAUUUUUGUUUUUGUUUAUGU
RNAcentral lists this long non-coding RNA (336 nucleotides) under Malus domestica (apple). RNAcentral's name for it is "long non-coding RNA (MDOM_LNC008332)". Lineage: Eukaryota; Viridiplantae; Streptophyta; Magnoliopsida; Rosales; Rosaceae. The record is from RNAcentral.